GAUGAAGAACGCAGCGAAAUGCGAUACGUAGUGUGAAUUGCAGAAUUCAGUGAAUCAUCGAAUCUUUGAACGCACAUUGCGCCCGCCAGUAUUCUGGCGGGCAUGCCUGUCCGAGCGUCAUUUCAACCAUCAAGCCCCCGGGCUUGUGUUGGGGACCUGCGGCUGCCCGCAGGCCCUGAAAACCAGUGGCGGGCUCGCUGUCACACCGAGCGUAGUAGCAAUCACCUCGCUCAGGGCGUGCUGCGGGUUCCGGCCGUUAAACAGCCUUACAAAACCCAAGGUUGACCUCGGAUCAGGUAGGAAGACCCGCUGAACUUAAGCAUAUCAAUAAGCGGAGGA
RNAcentral lists this unclassified non-coding RNA (339 nucleotides) under soil metagenome. RNAcentral describes it as "partial contains 5.8S ribosomal RNA, internal transcribed spacer 2, and large subunit ribosomal RNA". The stretch from base 1 to 120 matches the Rfam family "5.8S ribosomal RNA", at positions 35 to 154 of the family's 154-position model. The record is from RNAcentral.